Chiroxiphia lanceolata (lance-tailed manakin) is the source of this 364-nucleotide long non-coding RNA. RefSeq lists it as uncharacterized. NCBI's taxonomy places the organism in Eukaryota, Metazoa, Chordata, Aves, Passeriformes, Pipridae. The transcript has 2 exons. The record is from RefSeq and is a predicted model, not a curated record.
AGCAACACUUGCUAAGUGAAGUUCCUAGAGAGUCAAUUGUUUAAGACAAUGAACAUGAAUUUCUUUUCUCUAAACCAUCUCCUUCUUUCAUAUAACAUUUUUUUCUCUCUCCAGAGGGCUCGAUGUCCUGAUUGGACCUGGCUGUGGGCUGGUGGAGAGGAGAGGCUCAUCACUGUCACCAUUUCCAUACCCACUUUCGAUGCUGGUCAUAACCCCACCACGAGCACUGCGUGAAAUCAGCAGGUUAUGUGCAAGGAAUGGAACAUUUGACUCUCUGCAUUACACCAAGAGAUGAAUCAGCAACAAGUUGUCAAGCUUUUCAUCUUCUUUUUUUUUUAAUUAAUUAAAAUCAACAAGAAAUUCA